Molecule: ribosomal RNA, 501 nt
Filed under: uncultured bacterium
Lineage: Bacteria
Description: partial 16S ribosomal RNA
Rfam family: Bacterial small subunit ribosomal RNA
Source: RNAcentral
AUUGAACGCUGGCGGCAGGCUUAACACAUGCAAGUCGAGCGGGGGAAGGUAGCUUGCUACUGGACCUAGCGGCGGACGGGUGAGUAAUGCUUAGGAAUCUGCCUAUUAGUGGGGGACAACAGCUCGAAAGGGAUGCUAAUACCGCAUACGUCCUACGGGAGAAAGCAGGGGAUCUUCGGACCUUGCGCUAAUAGAUGAGCCUAAGUCGGAUUAGCUAGUUGGUGGGGUAAAGGCCUACCAAGGCGACGAUCUGUAGCGGGUCCGAGAGGAUGAUCCGCCACACUGGGACUGAGACACGGCCCAGACUCCUACGGGAGGCAGCAGUGGGGAAUAUUGGACAAUGGGGGGAACCCUGAUCCAGCCAUGCCGCGUGUGUGAAGAAGGCCUUAUGGUUGUAAAGCACUUUAAGCGAGGAGGAGGCUACUUUAGUUAAUACCUAGAGAUAGUGGACGUUACUCGCAGAAUAAGCACCGGCUAACUCUGUGCCAGCCGCCGCAGUAA